RNAcentral lists this ribosomal RNA (253 nucleotides) under uncultured bacterium. Its description in RNAcentral is "partial 16S ribosomal RNA". It matches the Rfam family "Bacterial small subunit ribosomal RNA", at positions 524 to 776 of the family's 1533-position model. The record is from RNAcentral.
UACGUAGGGUGCGAGCGUUAAUCGGAAUUACUGGGCGUAAAGCGUGCGCAGGCGGUUUUGUAAGCCAGAUGUGAAAGCCCCGGGCUUAACCUGGGAAUGGCAUUUGGGACUGCAAGGCUUGAGUGCGGCAGAGGAGACUGGAAUUCCUGGUGUAGCAGUGAAAUGCGUAGAUAUCAGGAGGAAUACCGAUGGCGAAGGCGGCUCACUGGACCGGUACUGACGCUGAGGCGCGAAAGCGUGGGGAGCAAACGGG